This 353-nucleotide ribosomal RNA is filed under the name uncultured Enterobacter sp. RNAcentral's name for it is "bacterial SSU rRNA". It matches the Rfam family "Bacterial small subunit ribosomal RNA", at positions 55 to 398 of the family's 1533-position model. The record is from RNAcentral. Lineage: Bacteria; Pseudomonadati; Pseudomonadota; Gammaproteobacteria; Enterobacterales; Enterobacteriaceae.
AUGCAAGUCGAGCGGUAACACAGAGAGCUUGCUCUCGGGUGACGAGCGGCGGACGGGUGAGUAAUGUCUGGGAAACUGCCUGAUGGAGGGGGAUAACUACUGGAAACGGUAGCUAAUACCGCAUAACGUCGCAAGACCAAAGAGGGGGACCUUCGGGCCUCUUGCCAUCAGAUGUGCCCAGAUGGGAUUAGCUAGUAGGUGGGGUAACGGCUCACCUAGGCGACGAUCCCUAGCUGGUCUGAGAGGAUGACCAGCCACACUGGAACUGAGACACGGUCCAGACUCCUACGGGAGGCAGCAGUGGGGAAUAUUGCACAAUGGGCGCAAGCCUGAUGCAGCCAUGCCCGCGUGUA